CACGUAGGGCGCAAGCGUUGUCCGGAAUUACUGGGCGUAAAGAGCUCGUAGGCGGUUUGUCGCGUUGUCCGUGAAAACUCACAGCUUAACUGUGGGCGUGCGGGCGAUACGGUCAGACUGGAGUACUGCAGGGGAGACUGGAAUUCCUGGUGUAGCGGUGGAAUGCGCAGAUAUCAGGAGGAACACCGGUGGCGAAGGCGGGUCUCUGGGCAGUAACUGACGCUGAGGAGCGAAAGCGUGGGGAGCGAACAGG
RNAcentral lists this ribosomal RNA (253 nucleotides) under uncultured bacterium. RNAcentral describes it as "partial 16S ribosomal RNA". It matches the Rfam family "Bacterial small subunit ribosomal RNA", at positions 524 to 776 of the family's 1533-position model. The record is from RNAcentral.